RNAcentral lists this ribosomal RNA (372 nucleotides) under uncultured bacterium. RNAcentral's name for it is "bacterial SSU rRNA". It matches the Rfam family "Bacterial small subunit ribosomal RNA", at positions 527 to 896 of the family's 1533-position model. The record is from RNAcentral.
GUAGGGCGCAAGCGUAAUCCGGAAUUAUUGGGCGUAAAGAGCUCGUAGGCGGUUUGUCGCGUCUGCUGUGAAAUCCCGAGGCUCAACUUCGGGUCUGCAGUGGGUACGGGCAGACUAGAGUGCGGUAGGGGAGAUUGGAAUUCCUGGUGUAGCGGUGGAAUGCGCAGAUAUCAGGAGGAACACCGAUGGCGAAGGCAGAUCUCUGGGCCGUAACUGACGCUGAGGAGCGAAAGGGUGGGGAGCAAACAGGCUUAGAUACCCUGGUAGUCCACCCCGUAAACGUUGGGAACUAGUUGUGGGGUCCAUUCCACGGAUUCCGUGACGCAGCUAACGCAUUAAGUUCCCCGCCUGGGGAGUACGGCCGCAAGGCUA